GCGCUGCCUGUCCGCUGU
Molecule: microRNA, 18 nt
Filed under: Macrophomina phaseolina MS6
Lineage: Eukaryota; Fungi; Ascomycota; Dothideomycetes; Botryosphaeriales; Botryosphaeriaceae
Description: miR-4103-3p
Source: RNAcentral